RNAcentral lists this transfer RNA (73 nucleotides) under Bacteriophage sp. Its description in RNAcentral is "tRNA-Ile". It matches the Rfam family "tRNA". From Rfam's summary of the family: Transfer RNA (tRNA) molecules are approximately 80 nucleotides in length. Their secondary structure includes four short double-helical elements and three loops (D, anti-codon, and T loops). The record is from RNAcentral.
AGGCACUUAGCUCAGCUGGAAGAGCAUCCGUCUUAUACGCGGCUUGUCCUGGGUUCGAGCCCCAGAGUGCCCA